ACAGUAUGUGCGAUCUGCGGAGCAAAAAAAUCCAACAUCUCCCCGAGGAAAGUCCGGGCUCCACGGAACACGGUGGCGGGUAACGCCCGCCCGGCGCAAGCCGAGAGACAGUGCCACAGAAACAAACCGCCUUUUUCGCGCGGUACUGGCGGCAGCGAGGGCAGCAGCCCGAGCGAGCCAUCAGCCCGCGAAGCGGCGCGAAGCAUCGCACAGCAUGUGCGAUUUGCGGAGCACCAAUAAGGUAAGGGUGAAAAGGUGGGGUAAGAGCCCACCGCGCCGCUGGUAACAGCGUGUGGCCAGGCAAACCUCACCGGGAGCAAGACCAAAUAGGCGUGCAGUGGUUCAAUCCACGGGCCGUUCCGGGCCGCACGCGGGUAGGUUGCUUGAGCCAUGCAGCAAUGCAUGGCCUAGAUGAAUAGCCAUCCAUCCCAGCAAUGGGGGGACAGAACCCGGCUUACAGGCCAUCUGGUGUU
RNAcentral lists this RNase P RNA (473 nucleotides) under Azospirillum brasilense. RNAcentral describes it as "RNase P RNA component class A". It matches the Rfam family "Bacterial RNase P class A". Rfam says of the family: Ribonuclease P (RNase P) is a ubiquitous endoribonuclease, found in archaea, bacteria and eukarya as well as chloroplasts and mitochondria. Its best characterised activity is the generation of mature 5'-ends of tRNAs by cleaving the 5'-leader elements of precursor-tRNAs. Lineage: Bacteria; Pseudomonadati; Pseudomonadota; Alphaproteobacteria; Rhodospirillales; Azospirillaceae. The record is from RNAcentral.